This 230-nucleotide long non-coding RNA is filed under the name Urocitellus parryii (Arctic ground squirrel). Its description in RNAcentral is "lncRNA (ENSUPAG00010022601.1)". Lineage: Eukaryota; Metazoa; Chordata; Mammalia; Rodentia; Sciuridae. The record is from RNAcentral.
CCAGUCACUCUUGUGUUCUCCCAGGUCCCUCAGUGGACUUGGUAGAGUUUGAUUCCCCRUGAGAUGGAUAAGGAGGACCCAUCUUAUGCUCUGGCUGGUGACCGGUUGCAGUGCCUUGUUGACUGACUCCACCGAACCCAGGGAGAGUCUGAAAACACAGAACAGAUCCUGGUGAUCCUGUGUGAUUUAGGAUUGGAUCAUCAGCAGAAGAUAGGAUUUGAGCAGUGAGG